UACGUAUGGGGCAAGCGUUAUCCGGAAUUAUUGGGCGUAAAGAGUGCGUAGGUGGUUACCUAAGCGCAAGGUUUAAUCUUGAGGCUCAACCUCAUUCUGCCUUGCGAACUGGGCUACUUGAGUGCAGGAGGAGAAUGCGGAAUUCCCAGUGUAGCGGUGAAAUGCGUAGAUAUUGGGAAGAACACCGGUGGCGAAGGCGGCUUUCUGGACUGUAACUGACACUGAGGCACGAAAGCGUGGGGAGCAAACAGGAUUAGAUACCCUGGUA
This 268-nucleotide ribosomal RNA is filed under the name uncultured prokaryote. Its description in RNAcentral is "partial 16S ribosomal RNA". It matches the Rfam family "Bacterial small subunit ribosomal RNA", at positions 524 to 792 of the family's 1533-position model. The record is from RNAcentral.